Long non-coding RNA from Cygnus olor (mute swan), 2182 nucleotides. RefSeq lists it as uncharacterized. The record is from RefSeq and is a predicted model, not a curated record. Lineage: Eukaryota; Metazoa; Chordata; Aves; Anseriformes; Anatidae. The transcript is spliced from 4 exons.
UUGCAGUGAGCCAGGUGGUCUUCACUAUGAUAGCCACAGAAAAGGGGAAGUCUUAAGAGGCAUCAAAGAAGAGCUCUUGCUCUGCUCGCAGAGGAAGAGGAGUCAGUCUAUUUAAUUACAGCUGGGACUUCCUCUUUUCCUCUUGGCAGACAGCCUUGUUUAAAAUCUUCCAUUUUCCAGUCCACAACUGAGUUUAUACAAAAUGAGUGGGUUCUACAAGAUGACACCUUCACUAGAAGAACACGUUUCAUGAUAAACAGAAGGUAUACAGAUGCAACGUAACUCACUGGGAGCCAACCUUCAAUGUUGACACAAGAAAAAAAAAAAAAUCCAGUUCUGGAUUCCAUCAGGUGCUUCUUAUAAGACAUGGAUUAGACAUUACUGGCAGUGUGAGCCCAACAUGUGUAUCCAUGAGAAAACAGACCUCAGUCUUGACAGUGCUUCUCUAAAGGAAGGUUUGAAGAGGAUGAAAUUUGUCCAUCUUUGAAGACUUGGUUCCCCUGCUGUGGGCUUCAGCUGCCAUUAAAAAACAGAUUCUAGUUAAAAUUGAAGCUCAAAAAGCUGUUACACUGCAGAGAAUUCAUCAUUGGGAGAAGCUGCAUUGCCGCUACUAGCGGGAGUAGAGGACUGACAGCUCCUACAGUAGAGAACUGUAUCUUUGAGCAGCAGAGCCUGAGGAUUUGCUGGAAAGUUACUCCUAUUUCUGUUGCAUCCUUAGGAUGUAACCAGGAAUCAUGUGCAAGUCUUUCAGUCUGGGAGUGUCUGCUUCUGUAGACUGGUCCUGAGAGCUGAAUAGUGCAAGGAAGGAGCAGAGUCUGUAGGGAGACAUCCCAAUCUGAGCUGCAGCGAAGUGUGAGGCAGCUUUGGAAAAUCAAUGCAAUUGAUGAAGCUUGACAUUUUAAUUGUCUUUUGUUUGCAGAACUAAAUUAGGUUAUGAAGAACAAUGAUCAGUGGCUGUGAUUAAAAGUUUGAAAUGUGCCAAGUAUCCUGAGAUUUGUACUAGAUUGUGAGUGUACAUUGUAUGUAAGUGCUAGGUUUGAAGUGGCUGUAAGCAAAUAGGGCCAAGAAAACAAGUGAGAUUGUCAAAGCCAAAUUAAAAUGCUUUUCCUCCUCGCAUUGUCCCUGAAGAGCUAUUGUGUUAGAACUUGGUUUCCAAAGUUAUCACUAAUUUGUGAACUAGCAGGAUUCUAAUUCCGCUUUAAAUGGAAUUGUCUAUCCACCUGUAAUGCUAGAGUCCCUAGUGGCACUUCUGUAAUGAUAUCUCUAUACUACAUAUGACUUGUACCAUAGCAGCAAAUAAUUUAAAUGGAAAUUACAUGAAUGUAAAAGAACAUGCAUGUGUCCUUGAACUCUUCGAGCUCUGCUAAGACCACUGUAUUUAAAAAAAAAAACCACACACACAAAAAAAACAACUCUAGCAUGAUGAAGCCUCCUAGCUGAAAGGUGCUUGGUGUUUUCCUUCUUAAAUUCACUUUCUGCCAGAAAAGAAUAUGUAAUGCCCAAGUAACCUUGAGUCCAGAUAAACAGCUAAGUGUUCCUGUAGUGCAAACCUCCCUAUGGUUUUAUUGCCCCCUUGAAACACAAUUGCUAUAGAAGUGUCUGGGAAACUGUACUAAAACUGUCCCUUUGAAUGUAUUAAUUAGAAUCUGUCAAGCAUAUUUUGACUGGAAACAGUUCGUGACACAAUGAAUACAUUUUUGGCCUUAAAAGGAUACUAAGACAGGAACAACAACAAAAAUUAGUUAAUACUUGUUGUAUAUUUUUGUUUCUAAAGUUAGAUAGCAUAAGUCUCAGCAGGGACUACUCUUGAUCUACUGACUACAAGGUCUACCUUGUCACAUGAAAUUCUCAAAAACAGCAAAGCUCUUUAUUCUGGGUUUCAGGCUUGGUUUUUUUGGGGCCUGAGUGUUUACUAUCCAGAGACUUGCAUUCAUCAACCACAUAUGAACAUGGCCUGCUGUUAAGCGAUUAAAGUUCUGAUAUUUAUGGUUCCACACUGCUGUAGGAUGAAUGAAUCAUGUAUUUACUUGGGAGAUUAGACACAAGGGACCUGUUGCACAGCAAACAACCAUGUCUGUAGGUUCUGAAGCGCUUGUGGGCUAUAAAGCACUAGCUUAAUGAUGCUGUUCCUCCCGAGUAAUGCCAAAAUGUCUUUGCUACUUAAAUGCAGCCUGUGAUGAUA